RNAcentral lists this ribosomal RNA (291 nucleotides) under uncultured bacterium. RNAcentral describes it as "partial 16S ribosomal RNA". It matches the Rfam family "Bacterial small subunit ribosomal RNA", at positions 775 to 1067 of the family's 1533-position model. The record is from RNAcentral.
GGAUUAGAUACCCUGGUAGUCCACACCGUAAACGUUGGGCGCUAGGUGUGGGGCUCAUUCCACGAGUUCCGUGCCGCAGCUAACGCAUUAAGCGCCCCGCCUGGGGAGUACGGCCGCAAGGCUAAAACUCAAAGGAAUUGACGGGGGCCCGCACAAGCGGCGGAGCAUGCGGAUUAAUUCGAUGCAACGCGAAGAACCUUACCUGGGUUUGACAUACGCCGGAAAGCCGUAGAGAUACGGCCCCUUUUAGUCGGUGUACAGGUGGUGCAUGGCUGUCGUCAGCUCGUGCCG